This 407-nucleotide ribosomal RNA is filed under the name uncultured bacterium. RNAcentral describes it as "bacterial SSU rRNA". It matches the Rfam family "Bacterial small subunit ribosomal RNA", at positions 355 to 754 of the family's 1533-position model. The record is from RNAcentral.
UGGGGAAUAUUGGACAAUGGGCGAAAGCCUGAUCCAGCCAUGCCGCGUGUGUGAAGAAGGUCUUCGGAUUGUAAAGCACUUUAAGUUGGGAGGAAGGGCAGUAAGUUAAUACCUUGCUGUUUUGACGUUACCGACAGAAUAAGCACCGGCUAACUCUGUGCCAGCAGCCGCGGUAAUACAGAGGGUGCAAGCGUUAAUCGGAAUUACUGGGCGUAAAGCGCGCGUAGGUGGUUUGUUAAGUUGGAUGUGAAAGCCCCGGGCUCAACCUGGGAACUGCAUCCAAAACUGGCAAGCUAGAGUACGGUAGAGGGUGGUGGAAUUUCCUGUGUAGCGGUGAAAUGCGUAGAUAUAGGAAGGAACACCAGUGGCGAAGGCGACCACCUGGACUGAUACUGACACUGAGGUGC